RNAcentral lists this ribosomal RNA (459 nucleotides) under uncultured bacterium. RNAcentral's name for it is "partial 16S ribosomal RNA". It matches the Rfam family "Bacterial small subunit ribosomal RNA", at positions 338 to 795 of the family's 1533-position model. The record is from RNAcentral.
CCUACGGGAGGCAGCAGUGAGGAAUAUUGGUCAAUGGGCGGGAGCCUGAACCAGCCAAGCCGCGUGAGGGAAGAAGGUACAGCGUAUCGUAAACCUCUUUUGUCAGGGAACAAAGGCGGGGACUAGUCCCCGGAUGAGGGUACCUGAAGAAAAAGCAUCGGAUAACUCCGUGCCAGCAGCCGCGGUAAUACGGAGGAUGCGAGCGUUAUCCGGAUUUAUUGGGUUUAACGGGAGCGUAGGCGGGCGUGCAAGUCAGAUGUAAAAUCGCGCGCCGAAACCGCGCCCCGCAGUUGAAACUGGAGGCCUGGAGUUCAGAACAGGCAGGCGGAAUUCGUGGUGUAGCGGUGAAAUGCAUAGAUAUCACGAGGAACCCCGAUUGCGAAGGCAGCCUGCCGGGGUGCGACUGACGCUGAGGCUCGAAGGUGCGGGUAUCAAACAGGAUUAGAUACCCGAGUAGUC